CCUACGGGGUGGCAGCAGUGGGGAAUAUUGCACAAUGGGGGAAACCCUGAUGCAGCCAUGCCGCGUGUAUGAAGAAGGCCUUCGGGUUGUAAAGUACUUUCAGCGGGGAGGAAGGUGUUGUGGUUAAUAACCGCAGCAAUUGACGUUACCCGCAGAAGAAGCACCGGCUAACUCCGUGCCAGCAGCCGCGGUAAUACGGAGGGUGCAAGCGUUAAUCGGAAUUACUGGUCGUAAAGCGCACGCAGGCGGUCUGUCAAGUCGGAUGUGAAAUCCCCGGGCUCAACCUGGGAACUGCAUUCGAAACUGGCAGGCUAGAGUCUUGUAGAGGGGGGUAAAAUUCCAGGUGUAGCGGCGAAAUGCGUAGAGAUCUGGAGGAAUACCGGUGGCGAAGGCGGCCCCCUGGACAAAGACUGACGCUCAGGUGCGAAAGCGUGGGGAGCAAACAGGAUUAGAUACCCCCGUAGUC
RNAcentral lists this ribosomal RNA (466 nucleotides) under uncultured bacterium. RNAcentral describes it as "bacterial SSU rRNA". It matches the Rfam family "Bacterial small subunit ribosomal RNA", at positions 338 to 795 of the family's 1533-position model. The record is from RNAcentral.